AUAGACUUCUCAACUUUUCAGUUAAGAUAAAAUAUAGUAUUUGUUCUUAUUAGUUUCAUAUAUGAUACAGCCACUAUCUAGGAGCAAUACAUCAAAUGAAUUUUGGGAUCAAGGAGAUGAAAUGGGAGCUUGCUCCACAUAUUCCAUGCAUCAACAUAGUAGUCUAAUAACUCCAGGGAUGGCACAAUGAUU
This is a small nuclear RNA of Cavia porcellus (domestic guinea pig), 192 nucleotides long. Its record names the gene U2. It matches the Rfam family "U2 spliceosomal RNA". Rfam says of the family: U2 is a small nuclear RNA (snRNA) component of the spliceosome (involved in pre-mRNA splicing). NCBI's taxonomy places the organism in Eukaryota, Metazoa, Chordata, Mammalia, Rodentia, Caviidae. The record is from Ensembl.